This 494-nucleotide ribosomal RNA is filed under the name uncultured bacterium. RNAcentral's name for it is "partial 16S ribosomal RNA". It matches the Rfam family "Bacterial small subunit ribosomal RNA", at positions 28 to 506 of the family's 1533-position model. The record is from RNAcentral.
GACGAACGCUGGCGGCGUGCCUAAUACAUGCAAGUAGAACGCUGAAGGAGGAGCUUACUUCUCUGGAUGAGUUGCGAACGGGUGGGUAACGCGUAGGUAACCUGCCUGGUAGCGGGGGAUAACUAUUGGAAACGAUAGCUAAUACCGCAUAAGAGUAGAUGUUGCAUGACAUUGGCUUAAAAGGUUCAAUGGCAUCACUACCAGAUGGACCUGCGUUGUAUUAGCUAGUUGGUGGGGUAACGGCUCACCAAGGCGACGAUACGUAGCCGACCUGAGAGGGUGAUCGGCCACACUGGGACUGAGACACGGCCCAGACUACUACGGGAGGCAGCAGUAGGGAAUCUGCGGCAAUGGACGGAAGUCUUGCCGAGCAACGCCACGUGAGUGAAGAAGGUUUUCGGAUCGUAAAGCCCUGUUGUAAGAGAAGAACGAGUGUGAGAGUGGAAAGUUCACACUGUGCCGGUAUCUUACCAGAAAGGGACGGCUAACUCCGU